UUUCGCAAUGCCCGAAAGGGUGACGAAGCGACGCCGCGUGUGGGAAGAAGGCCUUCGGGUUGUAAACCACUGUCGGGAGUUAAGAAAUGCAAGGAUAUUAAUAGUGUCUUUGCUUGACUAAGGCUCCGGAGGAAGCCACGGCUAACUCUGUGCCAGCAGCCGCGGUAAUACAGAGGCGGCAAGCGUUGUUCGGAAUUAUUGGGCGUAAAGAGCACGUAGGCGGCUAUGUAAGUCGGUUGUGAAAGCCUUCCGCUCAACGGGAGAACAGCAUCCGAUACUACAUGGCUUGAGUGCGGGAGGGGAGAGUGGAACUUCUGGUGGAGCGGUGAAAUGCGUAGAUAUCAGAAGGAACGCCGGCGGCGAAAGCGGCUCUCUGGCCCAUAACUGACGCUGAGUGUGCGAAAGCUAGGGGAGCAAACGGGAUUAGAUACCCCGGUAGUCCUAGCCGUAAACGAUGGGCACUAAGUAGAGGGGUUUU
Molecule: ribosomal RNA, 478 nt
Filed under: uncultured Planctomycetales bacterium
Lineage: Bacteria; Pseudomonadati; Planctomycetota; Planctomycetia; Planctomycetales
Also listed under: 1 other name
Description: bacterial SSU rRNA
Rfam family: Bacterial small subunit ribosomal RNA
Source: RNAcentral